CAGACCUUAAAAGAGCAGAUUACAGGCGUGAGUCACCGAGGCCCGCUGAGAUUUUUCCUUCUAGAGCAAGAAUCCCAAACAGUAAUGCUCCCAAGCACUAGAAGGUAGGAUUAACGAGGGCAGGGUAAACAAAAUGGAUUGGCAGGGACUGUGGGGAACUGGAGAGUGUGGGACCCAACUAAAGAGGGUGCUACUUAGCUCCAGACAAUUGCUGCCUUUCAGAAUCCCAGGCCUGGUACAGUUAGAUGGUCCAGUUUUCUAACAGAAUCCAAAAGUCUGGGUUUUUAGUAAAGUUUACAAUAUUUUAAAAACCAUGCAGGCCAAAUAAAGCAUAUCUGCCAGCUAGAUCUCUGUCCAGUUUGUGGUUUCUUCUUGAGAGCUGUAGGGGAGGAAAGAUUUUUCUCUUUACCUUCCUAGGUUUGAUAGCUGGAUCUAUGAAAUUAACUGACAACAGGGAGAUUAACAGGAAAAAAAGUAUAUAAAUUUAUGAAUUCUUAAUGUAACAUGCAUGAAUGCAUCACAGAAAAAAAAGUGAAUACCUCAGAAAAGCAGUGAGAUUUGAGAGCUUCCAUUCCAUCUUAAUAAGGAAAGUGGGGUGGGAUGCAGGUCACUUAGGAGAGUAGAAGAUUUUUAGGAAAGAUGAAUGAGCCCAUAGAAAAUAAGAUGGGAAAUAUGCUAGGUUGUGACAAAGUUUGUUUGAGAGUGGUGUCAACUUCUAGUCUCUCUGUGAUGAGUUCAUCUUCCCUGGUUGAUGAAACUCCCAGGGAUGGGACUGAUGACAAUUUAGUUUCUUUUGCAGGAUCUGUCCUUAGGCAGGUAAGGGAAGUUCAGAGAGGGCCUCUCUCUGCACUGCUGUUUUUUUAAGUGCCUUCAACUCAAAAUAAUCAGUGUAUCAAACUGGCAAAUUUUGGGGGUAGCAAGAACCGAACCCCUUCAGAGCUUUGCUGUGAUGUGACUCAGCUUCCUUCUCUGUGGCUCAGUUCUGAGGCGAGAGGUCCUGAUUGGCCCAGCUAGGGCCGGUGGGGUCAGCUAGGGCCAGCUAGGGCUAGCUAGGGCCAGGGAGGGAUGACUCAGCGAAAAUGUGGCUACUGAGUGGGCAGAGUGACAGAGUGGUUCCUAAAGAAGAGGGUCUGAAACUGCAGGAUCCUGUGGAGGGAGUGAGGGGUCAAGGUAAAGCUGUUUAUCACUUUUCCGUGUCAAUGGGAAUCAUAUCACCCAGUGGGAAGCAACUUGCAGCUUAUGGAAAAGAAAGAAUGAAAUGAAAUAGGCCUAAACUGAAACACAAGGAAUUUAAAUCAGACAUUUGGUCUUCCAAAGGGAGCUGUAAAGCUCUGAGAAUUUACCACAGGGUCUCAGGUCCUAUCAGAUUGAGUCAAAACAUAUCUGUCUUGCCUGAUCUCUGGGAAGACCUUGUCAAGCAUCAUCUGUCAUUGUCUCCACUCCCUCUCUCAAGCCCCUAAAUCCCAGUUCACAUGCAACACAUUCACUGCCUUCCCCGAGAGGAGCAUGGGCCAUUUCUUAUCUCACCAGCUUGCAGAGCAAAGUGUGAUUUGAGCACUGGGGCCCAGUCACACCUCCCCUCCCCUUACCUUCCCAUUGAGCCACUGAAAGUACCAGCAAAUCCUUUGAUGUUGCUGAUUCUGUAUUUAAGGUGAUGUCUUCAUUUGGGAAAAAUAAUUUCACUCUGAUGGGCUGAUACCGAUGGGAAACUGGCAUUGUCGAUUGUUAUUAAGUUAGAGGAUACAUGGAGGGUGAUGAUAAAUUCCAUGCAUUGAGUUAUUAAGAACAGGUUUGUACCCCUACUCAUUUGCUUUAACAUGCCUCCUUCACCCCCAUCUAUUAACUUGUGCCUAUUUGAAGGCUACAUAUGCAAAUAGAGGCAGAGCUAUCAGUGGAGGUGGGGGCGGUGGAUGGGGGGACACAGCUGCUUUGGGGGAAUAAACUAAAUCACAUCCACUGAACUAUUUUGCUGUUUAAAUCCAUUCUAAAGAUAUCCUAGGAGCAAUGAGUGCUCUCAAACAACCCAGCUAGGGCUCCAGAACAUUCAUUCUGAUGGUAGUUCUGUCCAAAACUUGAAGGACAACAGCUGCAGAAGGAAAUUAUAGCAUCAGAAAUUUCCCAGCUGCUCAACUCCCUGUGGACCUGCUUCUGAUAACUUUUCUUUCUUUUAUUAUUUUUAUAAUUAAUUCAUAUAAUGCUUUAAAGUCAACACAGUUGACAGGGUGUCUUCUGACCUUUCAUUCAUUGGAAUAAGUUUAUGGAAUGCCUGUCAUGUGCCAUGAACCAUUCUAAAAGUGGAGACUUUCAUGGCCAACAAAACAGACAAGGGUCCUGCUUUUGUGGCUCUCACACUGUGAUGGCAAGAAGGAAAGGAAGAAAAACAAGUCAAGAAAUAAAUGAGCAAGAUAAUCAACUGUAGCCGCAAAAGACAUGAUGCCCUUCCUCACCCAUCGUAAGGGUCAUGGCCUACACUCCUAUAGCAAAGGACAGGUUAACAAGAGAAAAACAUAACGCAUUUGUUUAAUCAAAGUUUUAUGUGAUAUAGGAG
RNAcentral lists this long non-coding RNA (2548 nucleotides) under Homo sapiens (human). RNAcentral's name for it is "HSALNT0312447". The record is from RNAcentral. Lineage: Eukaryota; Metazoa; Chordata; Mammalia; Primates; Hominidae.